GUGCCAGCAGCGNCGGUAAUACGGAGGGUCCAAGCGUUAAUCGGAAUUACUGGGCGUAAAGCGUGCGCAGGCGGUUUGUUAAGCGAGAUGUGAAAGCCCCGGGCUCAACCUGGGAAUUGCAUUUCGAACUGGCAAACUAGAGUCUUGUAGAGGGGGGUAGAAUUCCAGGUGUAGCGGUGAAAUGCGUAGAGAUCUGGAGGAAUACCGGUGGCGAAGGCGGCCCCCUGGACAAAGACUGACGCUCAGGCACGAAAGCGUGGGGAGCAAACAGGAUUAGAUACCCUGGUAGUCCACGCCGUAAACGAUGUCUACUCGGAGUUUGGUGUCUUGAACACUGGGCUCUCAAGCUAACGCAUUAAGUAGACCGCCUGGGGAGUACGGCCGCAAGGUUAAAACUCAAAUGAAUUGACGG
RNAcentral lists this ribosomal RNA (412 nucleotides) under uncultured bacterium. Its description in RNAcentral is "bacterial SSU rRNA". It matches the Rfam family "Bacterial small subunit ribosomal RNA", at positions 505 to 916 of the family's 1533-position model. The record is from RNAcentral.